GAUGAACGCUAGCGACAGGCUUAACACAUGCAAGUCGAGGGGCAUCGGGGUGUAGCAAUACACUGCCGGCGACCGGCGCACGGGUGAGUAACGCGUAUGCAACCUACCUAUCAGAGGGGAAUAACCCGGCGAAAGUCGGACUAAUACCGCAUAAAACAGGGGUCCCGCAUGGGAAUAUUUGUUAAAGAUUUAUUGCUGAUAGAUGGGCAUGCGUUCCAUUAGAUAGUUGGUGAGGUAACGGCUCACCAAGUCUGCGAUGGAUAGGGGUUCUGAGAGGAAGGUCCCCCANACUGGUACUGAGACACGGACCAGACUCCUACGGGAGGCAGCAGUGAGGAAUAUUGGUCAAUGGGCGAGAGCCUGAACCAGCCAAGUCGCGUGAAGGAAGAAGGAUCUAUGGUUCGUAAACUUCUUUAUAAGGGAAUAAGUGCGGGACUGUCCUGUUUUGUAUGUACCUUAUGAAUAAGGAUCGGCUAACUCCGUGCCAGCAG
Molecule: ribosomal RNA, 491 nt
Filed under: uncultured Parabacteroides sp.
Lineage: Bacteria; Pseudomonadati; Bacteroidota; Bacteroidia; Bacteroidales; Tannerellaceae
Description: bacterial SSU rRNA
Rfam family: Bacterial small subunit ribosomal RNA
Source: RNAcentral